AGAGAGCUAGUCUAAACACAAGACCUCUGAUUUCGACUCAGAAAAUCAUGGUUUGACCCACGGCUCCCUC
RNAcentral lists this transfer RNA (70 nucleotides) under Exostoma labiatum. RNAcentral describes it as "tRNA-Arg". It matches the Rfam family "tRNA". Rfam says of the family: Transfer RNA (tRNA) molecules are approximately 80 nucleotides in length. Their secondary structure includes four short double-helical elements and three loops (D, anti-codon, and T loops). Lineage: Eukaryota; Metazoa; Chordata; Actinopteri; Siluriformes; Sisoridae. The record is from RNAcentral.